This 312-nucleotide ribosomal RNA is filed under the name uncultured eukaryote. RNAcentral's name for it is "partial 18S ribosomal RNA". It matches the Rfam family "Eukaryotic small subunit ribosomal RNA", at positions 1470 to 1796 of the family's 1831-position model. The record is from RNAcentral.
CCCCUAGAUGUCCUGGGCCGCACGCGCAAUACAAUGUAAAGUUCAGAAAGCAUAUCCUGUUCCGGAAGGCAAUGGGUAAUCUUUUCAAUAUUUUACGUGUUAGGGAUCGAUCUUUGCAAUUAUAGAUCUUGAACGAGGAAUACCUAGUAAGUGCAGCUCAUCAGGCUGUACUGAUUACGUCCCUGCCCUUUGUACACACCGCCCGUCGCUCCUACCGAUUUCGAGUGGUCCGGUGAAUCUUUUGGAAUUAGAGUGCGAACUCAAACUAAGAUCGAUAAACCUUAUCACUUAGAGGAAGGAGAAGUCGUAACA